GCGACGAACCAGGCUUCGGCCUGGGGCUUAGCCGCGAACGGGUGAGUAACACGUGGGUAA
This 60-nucleotide ribosomal RNA is filed under the name uncultured Actinomycetes bacterium. RNAcentral's name for it is "uncultured actinobacterium partial 16S ribosomal RNA". Lineage: Bacteria; Bacillati; Actinomycetota; Actinomycetes. The record is from RNAcentral.